RNAcentral lists this long non-coding RNA (373 nucleotides) under Capsella rubella. RNAcentral describes it as "long non-coding RNA (CRUB_LNC005085)". The record is from RNAcentral. Lineage: Eukaryota; Viridiplantae; Streptophyta; Magnoliopsida; Brassicales; Brassicaceae.
UUUUACAUCUUAAUCAAAAAAAAAAUCUUAUAUAUCGAUUAUGAUUCAUGUUUUAGAACAUAUGUGUAGUUUGGCUAACUAAGAACAAUCUCGAAAUAGACAGUGUGGUGGUCCUUCGGGGAGUAGUCCACUCUGAAGUACUUUGCUGCGUUUCCACCGGGGCUGACAGGAUCAGCCGAUAGGGUUAAUCAAAAAACAAAAAAAGAACAAAAUCUCUUUCCUUGAACAUCGAUCACAUGUGUUUCGGUAAACCAUGCAACUCUGUUAAGGAUUGUUUUAGUUGGUAACAUAAUUAUUUAAGGGUUUUGUGCAAAUAAACCCUUCAAGUCGUCAAUUUUUGCAACGCUAUUCUUCAUAUCCAAAAAUACAAAAC